ACAAUUUGUCUGAUGGCGGGGUCGGAGGAGUAGCAGGUAAUGUCAUUGCAUGUACACAGUUUAAGACAGAGCAUCUGGUGAUUCUCGGACCUUCAAGCAAGUGUCACAUCUCAGGGUGUGAGGUUUGGAGGGCCUCUCGUCAAAACUUUGGAGGGCUCUGUCAGUUUGAAAAGAACAUGACCUUUAAAUUGUAUCAGUAUGUUUGCUGGUGCAUAAGGGAGAGGAAAAGGUUCGUCCUGAUGGAAAACCACUCAGAAGCCAAGGAGUAAUUCAGAGGGAACCAGCCCAGGAAGAAUCAAGAAAGCUGCCCACAGUGUCAUUCUUCAGCUGAGAAAAGAGAGAGUUGACUAACUCCUCGGACUGGAGUGAGGACUCACAGAGGUGGUAGGACACUAACCAUCUAUGUCUCCAUUUCCUGGGUUGUAACACUGAGGUAGAACAUCUCACUGUCCCAUGGAGGAUUAUGUUAUUUUUGGAGAUUAAUAAUUUUGGAGGAAGAAAGGUGGCUUCCUGAAAAGGAAGUCACAUGAAGAAGCAACUUACACGGUGGUCUCUUUAAAUAAACAUAUUGUGACU
RNAcentral lists this long non-coding RNA (576 nucleotides) under Homo sapiens (human). Its description in RNAcentral is "HSALNT0397331". Lineage: Eukaryota; Metazoa; Chordata; Mammalia; Primates; Hominidae. The record is from RNAcentral.